This 554-nucleotide ribosomal RNA is filed under the name uncultured bacterium. RNAcentral describes it as "bacterial SSU rRNA". It matches the Rfam family "Bacterial small subunit ribosomal RNA", at positions 777 to 1327 of the family's 1533-position model. The record is from RNAcentral.
AAUAGAUACCCGGGUAGUCCACGCCGUAAAACGAUGAGUGCUAAGUGUUAGGGGGGUUUCCGCCCCCUUAGUGCUGCAGCUAACGCAUUAAGCACUCCGCCUGGGGAGUACGGUCGCAAGACUGAAACCCAAAGGAAUUGACGGGGGCCCGCACAAGCGGUGGAGCAUGUGGUUUAAUUCGAAGCAACGCGAAGAACCUUACCAGGUCUUGACAUCCCAUUGACCGCUAUGGAGACAUAGCUUUCCCUUCGGGGACAGUGGUGACAGGUGGUGCAUGGUUGUCGUCAGCUCGUGUCGUGAGAUGUUGGGUUAAGUCCCGCAACGAGCGCAACCCUUGUUCUUAGUUGCCAUCAUUUAGUUGGGCACUCUAAGGAGACUGCCGGUGACAAACCGGAGGAAGGUGAGGAUGACGUCAAAUCAUCAUGCCCCUUAUGACCUGGGCUACACACGUGCUACAAUGGACGGUAUAAACGGUUGCCAACCCGCGAGGGGAGCUAAUCCGAUAAAACCGUUCUCAGUUCGGAUUGUAGGCUACAACUCGCCUACAUGGAACG